CCUCCUCGGGGCACCAGCCCCUGCCCAGCCCCAUCCUCAAGCGGGGCCCCCAGAAGGGGUGGGGAGUUUGUGACCUCUGGCACUUCACCUCCCCCCUAAUACUCCAACUGCAGGUCUGCAAAGGACGUCCUGCCUGUAUUUCAGGGCAGACUGAGGCCGGGAAGGCACUCUGGGUGGUGCUGUGAGCUCGGUCCAGCACACUCGGAGCUGGCUGAGGGGUGGGCUGCGGAGCCCUCUCCUGAGGACAGCGGGAAGCGGGCCUGGAAACGCGGCGCCAGACCCCCGAGAGCCCCGCGCCCCCCCCCCCCCCCCCCCCCCCCCCCCCCCCCGCGCCGCCGCCGGCCCGGGGCCCUGCCUGCAAGUUUCCCGUCAGCAGCCGCCCUGGUCCUGGAGUGCUGGACCCUCACACUUUGUGAGAAGCCCCUGGAAGGGCUGUUUUGGGCCCCCCACUGUCCUUGCUCUUAGCC
RNAcentral lists this long non-coding RNA (467 nucleotides) under Ovis aries (sheep). RNAcentral describes it as "lncRNA (ENSOARG00000025490.1)". The record is from RNAcentral. Lineage: Eukaryota; Metazoa; Chordata; Mammalia; Artiodactyla; Bovidae.